UCCCGGCGGUCCAAGUCGUAGCCACAAUUAAUGGGUCUAAAACAUCCGUAGCUUGUUAUGUAAGUCUCUUGUGAAAUCUUAACUCUUAAGGUUAAGGCGUGCAAGAGAUACUGCAUGACUAGAGACUGGAGGACGCGAGAAGUACACUCAAGGUAGUGGUAAAAUACGUUGAUCUUGGGUGGACUAACAAUAGCGAAGGCAUCUCGCGAUUACAGUUCUGACAGUGAGGGAUGAAGGCUAGGGGCGCAAAAAG
RNAcentral lists this ribosomal RNA (253 nucleotides) under uncultured archaeon. RNAcentral's name for it is "partial 16S ribosomal RNA". It matches the Rfam family "Archaeal small subunit ribosomal RNA", at positions 474 to 726 of the family's 1478-position model. The record is from RNAcentral.